GACGACGACUCCUACGGGAGGCAGCAGUGGGGAAUAUUGCACAAUGGGGGAAACCCUGAUGCAGCCAUGCCGCGUGUGUGAAGAAGGCCUUCGGGUUGUAAAGCACUUUCAGUAGGGAGGAAGGUAGUGUAGUUAACACCUGCAUUAUUUGACGUUACCUACAGAAGAAGCACCGGCUAACUCCGUGCCAGCAGCCGCGGUAAUACGGAGGGUGCGAGCGUUAAUCGGAAUUACUGGGCGUAAAGCGCAUGCAGGCGGCCUGUUAAGUCAGAUGUGAAAGCCCGGGGCUUAACCUCGGAAUUGCAUUUGAAACUGGCAGGCUAGAGUCUUGUAGAGGGGGUAGAAUUUCAGGUGUAGCGGUGAAAAUGCGUAGAGAUCUGAAGGAAUACCAGUGGCGAAGGCGGCCCCCUGGACAAAGACUGACGCUCAGAUGCGAAAGCGUGGGGAGCAAACAGGAUUAGAUACCCUGGUAG
This 473-nucleotide ribosomal RNA is filed under the name uncultured bacterium. RNAcentral's name for it is "bacterial SSU rRNA". It matches the Rfam family "Bacterial small subunit ribosomal RNA", at positions 328 to 793 of the family's 1533-position model. The record is from RNAcentral.